Molecule: microRNA precursor, 109 nt
Organism: Sorghum bicolor (sorghum)
Lineage: Eukaryota; Viridiplantae; Streptophyta; Magnoliopsida; Poales; Poaceae
Rfam family: MIR5565 microRNA precursor family
Source: Rfam
GUAGUCGGAUUCACAUCAAUUCAUAUAUAUUGGGGUGAGUUGGAGUGGAACUUGAACUAAAUUCCAUCCUAAUCCACUCCAACACAUGUGACUUGAGAUGAAUCCGACA